Molecule: long non-coding RNA, 370 nt
Filed under: Brassica napus (rape)
Lineage: Eukaryota; Viridiplantae; Streptophyta; Magnoliopsida; Brassicales; Brassicaceae
Description: long non-coding RNA (BNAP_LNC008464)
Source: RNAcentral
CCCACCAGUUUGUCCAUCGUAUUACCAUCCUUCAAGAACAUAAAAGUAGGCAUAGCCUUUACCUUUAGCCGUCUCGCCACUUCCUGACCAGUCCAACAUGGUUUAUAAAAAAAAGAAAACCAUCAAGGAUCACCAAUCUAGCUAUUGUUCAAUUUCACAACACUUGUCAAGAUAUUACGUUUCUUUGAAUAUUCUUCCAUUCUUUAUGGUUAAGACCCAAAAACUAGAGACAUAUAAGUAUUUAUACCUUGACUUCAUCAACAUCAACUAUAAGAAACAGAGCAUCCUUAUAGCUAGAGGCAAGAUCUUCAAAGAACGAGUUCAUAAACACAGAAGGAAUACACCAAGAUGCUGUGAAAUGAGCCACAAU